Molecule: ribosomal RNA, 433 nt
Filed under: uncultured bacterium
Lineage: Bacteria
Description: partial 16S ribosomal RNA
Rfam family: Bacterial small subunit ribosomal RNA
Source: RNAcentral
AACGAACGCUGGCGGCAUGCCUAACACAUGCCAGUCGAACGAGACCUUCGGGUCUAGUGACGCACGGGUGCGUAACGCGUGGGAACCUGCCCUUAGGUUCGGAAUAACUCCCCGAAAGGGGUGCUAAUACCGGAUAAUGUCUUCGGACCAAAGAUUUAUCGCCUUUGGAUGGGCCCGCGUUGGAUUAGCUAGUUGGUAGGGUAAAAGCCUACCAAGGCGACGAUCCAUAGCUGGUCUGAGAGGAUGAUCAGCCACACUGGGACUGAGACACGGCCCAGACUCCUACGGGAGGCAGCAGUGGGGAAUAUUGGACAAUGGGCGAAAGCCUGAUCCAGCAAUGCCGCGUGAGUGAUGAAGGCCUUAGGGUUGUAAAGCUCUUUUACCCGGGAUGAUAAUGACAGUACCGGGAGAAUAAGCGCCGGCUAACUCCGUG